GGUCUUGUAGUCAAAACAACAUGAUGUCAAAUUGCAAAUUUGAAGGUGAAAAACGUUUCUAAGGCUU
RNAcentral lists this transfer RNA (67 nucleotides) under Propomacrus bimucronatus. RNAcentral's name for it is "tRNA-Cys". The record is from RNAcentral. Lineage: Eukaryota; Metazoa; Arthropoda; Insecta; Coleoptera; Glaphyridae.